UCGAGGGGUAACGGAAGUAGCUUGCUACUAGACGACGACCGGCGCACGGGUGAGUAACGCGUAUGUAAUCUGCCUUGUACAGAGGGAUAGCCCACAGAAAUUUGGAUUAAUACCUCAUAGUAUUACCGAAUCGCAUGAUUUGGUAAUUAAAGCUCCGGCGGUACAAGAUGAACAUGCGUGACAUUAGCUAGUUGGUAAGGUAACGGCUUACCAAGGCCACGAUGUCUAUGGGUUCUGAGAGGAUGAUCCCCCACACUGGUACUGAGACACGGACCAGACUCCUACUGGAGGCAGCAGUGAGGAAUAUUGGUCUAUGGACGCAAGUCUGAACCACCCAUCCCGCGUGAAGGAUGACUGCCCUAUGGGUUGUAAACUUCUUUUAUAUGCAAAUAAACCUACUUUCGUGAAAGUAGCUGAA
RNAcentral lists this ribosomal RNA (418 nucleotides) under uncultured bacterium. RNAcentral's name for it is "bacterial SSU rRNA". It matches the Rfam family "Bacterial small subunit ribosomal RNA", at positions 62 to 473 of the family's 1533-position model. The record is from RNAcentral.